GGUCCGCCUAAAAAACCGACAGGCGGACCUGAACGGUCUGCCCGUGUGAAAGGGGCCUAAAGGUAAUUCUUUUAAUUUUGGAUGCUCUCUUCCAGUUGGACAAAUACUUUUCCAUUAAAGCUCAAACAAAAUAGUCCACAUGGUGUAAUCCCAUUCAGACACUUUAUGUUAAACAGUCUCGAUUAAAAACAGUCACAAAGAAAGACUUUUAAAAUGCUCAUCAAUCCCAAUGUAAUCAUCAGUAUCGCGCUCAGACAGUGUGGCUGGCGAUCCCAGCAUAUCGCCACAUCCGCCUGCAGCGAUUCCAGCAGUCUGCGUUGCCUCCCGCCGGCGUACUGACCUCACUUCAGGUUCACGUAUAGCCAUGUACUGAUGCGUUUCAUCAUUACGACUUCUUCCGAGGCUUGUAUAUUCGUAUAGCAUGUUUUCAUCUAGUAUCAUAUAUUUUUUAUAGAGAACACAAACCUGUUAAUCUGUUAACAUAUUUUAAAGAGUAUUAACACUUUUGCAGCCAAAUUGUGAUAACACCUACUUUGUAUUUGUUACUUGUUCCUGUUCACAUAGCAUA
Molecule: long non-coding RNA, 568 nt
Organism: Rana temporaria (common frog)
Lineage: Eukaryota; Metazoa; Chordata; Amphibia; Anura; Ranidae
Exons: 2
Source: RefSeq, a predicted model, not a curated record